GGAUAUCAUAGUAGCGGUAAGUCUAUUCGUUGCUUGUUUAGUGCUCCUGUCUGAGGGAAGUAUCAAGGAAGUCAGCUACUGUCACUACAUCUGCUUACUUGUCUAGUCGUGACUUGGCCCUAACUCAGGUGUCUGUAUUGAAUGAAACUCAUUGCUUUUGGGAGUCCUAAUUGAGUCUGUUUCAGGACUUAGCGCAUCAAAGGCAUCUAGAUAGCAGCCCUCUUCUUAACCCGGCCCGGCAUCAGAUCUUAUUCAAACUCUGGCUCUGGCUACUGAGUUUGGCUAAUGAACAUCUGUUUCAGGGCACCUCGCUCAUAUCUACCUCGCUUCCUCGCCUGCCUCCGCUCUUGAAACUAACCUAACUCUGGCAACAAAGAAAGAUUACACUCUCAAAGCAGCUUACUAAAUUGUCCCUUUCAAGCUUUGGCUAGUAGUUCCUCGUGAGUUGGUUUCCAGACCUUUACCUUAAACUAGUAGUUUCGUAGUUUCAUCUGUAUUAGUUAACUACCCGGGUAUUCACUAAAGAAUGAAGUGGGCUAUGGCCUUGCAGAAUCUCUUUUCGAAUGCUAAACUGCUGAUUCAACGUAUCAAAAGGCAAAGGCAAAACUUAAGUAUGGAGUGGGUGCUAGGGAUGGUCGAGUUGACCGAGUGUAUGAGUUGGACCGACCUGGCAGUAAGUGAUAGAAUUAGAGAUAGAAGGAUAAAGAUGAAAGAGGGUUACAGAUAUUAGGCUCAAAAUGCAUUCUAAGGGUCGUUUCCGAGUUUAGAUAAGUAAUUAGCUAUUCUCAAAGUGUCCCCUGGCUUAAACUGCGCAAAAGUCGACUACUUUCUUUGUUGACCGGGCAGUCAGAAGUGUACGAGUGGAAUCAGUUAUCUUUAAUCCUACAUAAAGAGAAGAUAUCCUUUUUUCAUCGGGAAGAUCAACUGCUGAAGUCAAGUAUCCGAACAAGCAAGAGAAUAAUUCAUUUAUUAGAGAAAUAGUGGGAAAGCCCUUACCUUAUUGGAAAACGAAAAGAUGCUAGAUGCAGAAAUAGACUCGUACAUCUCUUGCCCAUGUUACGGCUGUUCAGUUGCUGACCUUCUCUCUCUUGCCCACGCCACGUCCUUUUUCUUAGGUGUUUAAGCAAGAUUAUAGGAUUAGAAGAAUAAUCAACUAAUUCCAUUCUUAAAGCUGGAUCAGAGUAGGCUAAAGCGGAUGUUGGAUCGGGUUCAGAAGCUUGCUUAAUAAGGGAAGGAUCAGAUCCAAAGUGAGAAUUCAAGUAAGUCGGAGGGGCUUACUAAUAACUUAGGGCUUACUCAUAACCGCCGGACUUAUUCAACACUCUAAAACACUGGAGUAUAGACUGGGCCUAUUGACUACCCAGGACAGUACAGGUGCCCUUACUUACUAAGCGAGUCGACCCCAGAAGUUUGAGUGAAGUAUCCUUUCUUUAGGGGCUUAUCUAACUGGAAAUCAAUCUACAGGAUCAGAAGAAAGAGGUGGUGCGGUGUUAGAAUCAGAGGCUUAAGUUAGCAGUGCGGGUUGGUUACUUUUCUUUCUAGCAUACAGAGCGGGGGGCGAGUUAAGUAGUAGAGCUAAGUUCUUUGCUUUCAGAUAACUAGUCAUUCUCAGAGUUGCGGUAACUAUAGGCCCUAUCACUAUCAAAUGAAUUAUUCUCUUUAUAAAGGAGAAAAUGAGAUCUAUUGAGAAGGUGGUCUGGUCCUGUGAGUUGGAUGAGCCGAACUCCCCUUCCUAUUAUUCUUGGUCAAGUUACCGUUCUCCAGGUAUGCCUGCUUGGCCCCUACGAUUGGGUUUGGUGACUUCCAUUGCCCACCGAUACUGUUACUACUGAGUUGGAUUCUUUUACUACCAAUCUGUUACUACUGAGUGGGAAUUCCUUUACUUACUCCUCCGAUCGGGGACACAACCCAUUCUUUAACUACCGAGUGCAAUUCUGGAAUCCCUACUUAUGGACUACUUAGUGAAAUUCUGUAACUCCUACUUCCACUCAAGCUUGCUUCCUUGCCUGUUUAACGACUUGUACUAGACGAACUCUUGAACUCCUUUUACUAUACCUAUGGCUACUAUAUAAAUCUACCUUUCCUCUGGCUCUUGCAACUCUCACUACACUUUCUUAACCACUCCUUUGACUUUAGACCCGGGCAAGUAGACAAAUAAAAGAAGAAAACUGCUCCCCGGAAGCGCUAAACUCCAUUCUUAAAGGAAAGAAAGAGAACUACAUAAUGAAUGAAUUGGUUGCCAUUACCAAGUCCACCAAGCGUAUACUAGUAGGGAUUCCUCAAUUCUAUUUACAGAAUAGACUUAACGAGCACUUAAACAAGUAGUAGAGUAGUUUCAUCAGUAAAUCCAAUACUAUAGCUACUAAGAAAAGAAAGAAACAGCUAUGAUUUGAAACCCUUGCUGGCAACAGUGAACUUCCAGCUGUGACUCAUUUGACUUAUCGGGAUAUUUGAAUCGGUCACUAGCUUGGUCUAACUACGUGUCUUGUCUGCUUGGCUCAUCUGUGUUUCUCAAUUGUAAAAGAGUUAAGUAAACUCUAUUCUCUACCUUCUCUGACAACUAGACCCCUAUUGUCUGGCUAGGCUCAUUCUGCUGUUUCGGGACAUCUCGUCUCAAAGCCUUACUUCCCUUUCCUCACUUUUCAUCUAAAAACUAGGUUUUAUUACUGAACACAUGCGAUGGGUUAUACUACUUUAGUUGCUUGACCCGGUCUUAAACUAAUACUAAGGCAGCUAGUCGAGGAAAUGAUGGAUCUAUAGGCCAGUGAAUUCUUUAAUGCCAAACACCUUUUAUAGCUUCUGUAGUGAGUGACCUGGUAUCAGAAUGAGGCUCCCGAGCACAUAGAGUUCAAAAGGUUUAUUUAUUAUAUAUUAUAAGUACCGGAGCUGCUGUUAGUAACGAGUCAAGUUUGAUAGUACUGGCUGGCCCGGUUAAGGGAGGAUUCUCUUACUUGCAUUGCAAGGGAGUUUCACAAAUAAAUAAGAUGAGAAAUACCAGUGCUAGAUUCUUUCCCAGAUAUGGCUUCUGCAAAAGCAAGAGAAGCACUCCGUUUCAAGAACGGGAUCAUAAGCCUUAGAAUUGCCAGUUCCAGUAAGAUAAUAUGCUGGAUCAGUUGAAAACAUCAGAAUUUGCCUAAGUAGUAGAACUCGAGAAGCCAGUAACUCACCAAAACACAGGUGCUUAUGCUUCCUUACCAGCAUCUAAUCCCUCGCUGACUGCUUUCAUUGCAAUUGAUUCACACUCAAAACCUUAAUCACUUCCUAUCAUCUUAACCCUAGACUCUAUGAAAGAAUUCUGACCCUAUUGCCUUUUUCCUAGAAUAAUUGAUGUUGGCACCUAGCUUGAAACUGCUUGAGCAACUACAGUAAGGUUAGAGUAAAGUAAGCAAAUCAUAAGAGGAAGAAUGGAAUUAAUGCAACUAUACUAAUAAUGGAAUGAAUUACUAAUAAUGGAAUGAAUGCUACUACUAUAUACUUUCAAGAGGGAGGCUGCGGGUGGCAAGAAAGAGCUCGGGGGUUGGGCAAGGGCAGAUAGAGUUGGGGGCGAGUAACGUCUAGGUUCCGCAACAAGUCCUGUCUUUCUGGCUAAAGUGAGCUUACCUACAAACUCAAUACCCGGCCCGGCUAAGCAUGCCUUUAAGUAGAAGAGUAACUGGAGCUACACUCAUUCAUAUACUAACUUGUCUUAUUCAAAUACUUAUUACUUUUACUAAUAAUACAAAUACCGGUCUUCUACUCUGAUAUUACGACUAAUACUAAUAUAAGGGGAAUCCGCGGAUGCAACUCGACCGAGAAGAAGCGAAAGAGAACUAAUACUGAGUCACUCACUCGCAUUCAAAGAAAUAGAUGGAAUACAUAGAAUACUAAGAAUAGGGGCCAAGCAACAGUCAGAAUGAAACCAGUAAGGGCAAGAAUGAAAGUAUUUCUUUGCCAACAACACCCUACUUUAUCACUGCCCCUGCUCUUGUUCUUGUUGACGAACAUCAGUACUUCCUGCUUCUGCUCGAACUCAACUUUAUGAACUGACACAGAGCUUAAAUAAGGGCUGGCAAUUCUGCUGAUGAUACUGAUGAAAAUAAGGAUUCUGCGCCUUCUUUUCUUCUGCUUUAGUGUACUAGCCCGCUUGCUGCUUACUUGAGUGAGAGCAGCUUCCCCUUCCUUUGAACUAGCUUCUGCCCCUAUUGAACUAAAGAAGAGAGUUGCGGAAGAAAGAUCUUAUCUCUUUGGGCCCUACUUAUACUACCAACCAUGAUUCUUUUUCUGACCUUGGAACAGGUGCCAGAGGUAUGGUUGCCAUAGGGGCUGUUGAAUCCGUUCUCCUAUAGGCGGUAGUUGUUGGCGACUCUCUAAUUUCAUUCUGACUUGACUAUCCUCGUGCUAGUGAUCCUUCUCGCCUACCUAGUGCUCUAAGGUUACCAACCACCCCUGUGCUCUCUAUGAUAUCAGUUAUUAUGAUAUUUGAUUCCUUUAGCCCGAGGAGAUACCCGCGAGAGUUGCUUGGUCGACACAAGUGUCUUGGCUGUGAUUUAUUGGAUUUUGAUUCAUCCCAUUGGAUUCUUAAGUACACUCACUACUCCUCAGUCAACUAAUUCCAUUCUUCUCUUCCGUACUAAUUCCAUUCUUAAGUAAGUGACUUGGCGGUAUUGAAUGAAGCUCUAAACUCUCCACUCUCCACUCCUAUUUCACUCCUAACUCAGGUAUUUCAUUUCACUCCUACCUCAGGAGCCGGGUGCUCGCAGGUAGGGUUACAGAAUUGCACUGAUAGGUGAGCUAGUAGUUAAGUGAGAAUGCCACCGGUACUAACUGAGUAGCUACAGUAACAGUAUAAGAUUACAACUACUAACAUCAAGACUUAAUAGCUAACCAGUACUAACAACCAGUGCUAACCAGUACUAACAACAAGACUGAAACAAGUGGUAUCAAUACUUAAUCCCUAGUGGAUAGUUUCAGAAUUGACCUCAGUAGUAACAGUAUCGGUGUGCUUAGUAUAAGGCUUUGAAG
This 5001-nucleotide long non-coding RNA is filed under the name Musa acuminata (dwarf banana). RNAcentral describes it as "long non-coding RNA (MACU_LNC007448)". Lineage: Eukaryota; Viridiplantae; Streptophyta; Magnoliopsida; Zingiberales; Musaceae. The record is from RNAcentral.